GACAGAGGGUGCAAACGUUGUUCGGAAUCACUGGGCGUAAAGCGCGUGUAGGCGGCAGUGCAAGUCGGAUGUGAAAUCCCGCGGCUCAACCGUGGAAGUGCACCCGAAACUGCACAGCUCGAGUGUCGGAGAGGAAGGUGGAAUGCUUGGUGUAGAGGUGAAAUUCGUAGAUAUCAAGCGGAACACCGGUGGCGAAGGCGGCCUUCUGGACGACAACUGACGCUGAGACGCGAAAGCGUGGGUAGCAAACAGG
Molecule: ribosomal RNA, 253 nt
Filed under: uncultured bacterium
Lineage: Bacteria
Description: partial 16S ribosomal RNA
Rfam family: Bacterial small subunit ribosomal RNA
Source: RNAcentral